UGCUUUAUUGUUGAGACUGAAGGGGAUUAUUCUCCGGCUAAUUUACUUAAUAAUGAUACAAAACUACAAAAGUGUAAUGCUAGCAUGUCGCAUCGGUCUAUCGUAUGCACCAAUAUCAAUAAAAUAAUUGUGUGUAUCGAUAUUGUGUGAUAUUGUUUAUAUAAAUUUCGGGACUAAAAAAGGGGCGACCAGGUUCAACGACGAUUGCGAAAACCUCAAGAAAAAGACAGUUCUUCUUCGAACAAGAAGGCUAUCUACGUUGAGAGAAGAGAGAAACCAACAAAUGAAAUAGGUGACAAAAUCAGCCGACUGUCAAACAGUUUGGGUCUGAACAUGGAUCCAGACGACGAAAGGAGGCCGUUGUUAGGCAAUGAAAUAGUGCAGGAGGGGCGGCAGAUGGAAGCCAAGACACAAAACGCCGUGUUACGAGCAGAAAAUCUUCAAAGCGUGGCUCACGAGAUGUUUAAGCCGAUUUCACCUGAAAAGUCAAGCUGCUGGGGCUGCUGGGGCUGCAGGGGCUGCUGCGCCAUUCUCUGUGAAAUCUGGGCUUCUUGUAUAUCCGUAAAGUGCCGACCAGAUUAGCCUGUGCAGUCCGGACGACACUGUUUUAACGCAAAUUAAUUGACCUAAACUUCCCAGAACGCGACUAAUUUGAAGGCAUUUAACCGAUUGAGGACCAUUCCAACCAUUUCAUUCAAAGAUUUCACCACGUCUCCUCAAUAGCGUGUCAAGCGUUGCAAAAUUCAAUGUUUGCAUAUAUGUUUGUUGUAUAUUUGUAUACAUAAUUUUUCUAUAUUUCCAUGCUCAUGUGGUAAACUUUAAUAUAUAUGUUAUAUAAGCCCGUAUGUGUUUAUGAUA
This is a long non-coding RNA of Dreissena polymorpha, 858 nucleotides long. RefSeq lists it as uncharacterized. NCBI's taxonomy places the organism in Eukaryota, Metazoa, Mollusca, Bivalvia, Myida, Dreissenidae. The record is from RefSeq and is a predicted model, not a curated record. The transcript has 4 exons.